AACGAACGCUGGCGGCAGGCUUAACACAUGCAAGUCGAACGCGAAAGCCCUUCGGGGUCAGUAGAGUGGCGCACGGGUGAGUAACGCGUGGGAAUGUACCGUUUAGUACGGAAUAACUUCGGGAAACUGGAGUUAAUACCGUAUACGCCCUCCGGGGGAAAGAUUUAUCGCUAAACGAUCAGCCCGCGUGACAUUAGAUAGUUGGUGGGGUAAUGGCCUACCAAGUCGACGAUGUCUAGCUGGUCUGAGAGGAUGAUCAGCCACACUGGAACUGAGACACGGUCCAGACUCCUACGGGAGGCAGCAGUGGGGAAUAUUGGACAAUGGGCGAAAGCCUGAUCCAGCCAUGCCGCGUGAAUGAUGAAGGCCCUAGGGUUGUAAAGUUCUUUCAUUGGUGAAGAUAAUGACGGUAACCAAAGAAGAAGCUCCGGCUAACUUCG
This 440-nucleotide ribosomal RNA is filed under the name uncultured Alphaproteobacteria bacterium. RNAcentral describes it as "bacterial SSU rRNA". It matches the Rfam family "Bacterial small subunit ribosomal RNA", at positions 29 to 505 of the family's 1533-position model. Lineage: Bacteria; Pseudomonadati; Pseudomonadota; Alphaproteobacteria. The record is from RNAcentral.